GAUCGACUCCAGAUCGUCGUUCCUAGGCGGCGCGCAGCGCACUGGCUCGACGGUUGGUCCGAUUCAGCGUCCAACAGGGAGAUAGAGGCAGCAUCAUGUACAUCCGUUGCACCGAUGGGCGGCUAAAACGAUGCUGAUCAAACGAGGCUUUGCUUGAUACGAACGAAAUCGGCGGCGGCGGCGCGGCGGCAUACUCACGGGGCAACCCAUCGUCCAUCUAACCGACGACACGAUCGUCCCCCCAGCGGCGUCAUUGGCAAGCAAGCUUUGGGCUUUACCAUGAUGGCGUCGUAGGCAGCGACCUCUCAUCAGCAGGUCGAUGCGGUGAUUCAUAGGUCACAACGUUAAUCAAUCCUUCAUCCACGGCAUUGAUGAGGCAAGAUUGAUGUGGCAGCUAGCCCGAUGCUGCACAAAACGAUGGUUGCCAACCGCCGUCAGAACAUGUUAACUCCAAUGACUCAAAUGCUUACCUCAACCCUGCAACAAGCUACGUAGAGGGUCUGCGCCAUGGGAAAAAGCCUUUGUUUGGAAACUGUGAUUUAGUGGCAUUAUUUUG
Molecule: long non-coding RNA, 556 nt
Organism: Oryza sativa Japonica Group (Japanese rice)
Lineage: Eukaryota; Viridiplantae; Streptophyta; Magnoliopsida; Poales; Poaceae
Source: RefSeq, a predicted model, not a curated record